RNAcentral lists this unclassified non-coding RNA (219 nucleotides) under Hevea brasiliensis (rubber tree). The record is from RNAcentral. Lineage: Eukaryota; Viridiplantae; Streptophyta; Magnoliopsida; Malpighiales; Euphorbiaceae.
GGUCGGGCUUGUGGCCACCUCUCAUUUCCGUUUUGGUAGACUGUGAAAUGUCAUGGACAAAGGUCUGUAACUCUUCAGUCACUCCAGAGAAUGGGUAGAAGGUUCUUUGAGAUUGUCCAUCAGAUGUAUGAAACAAAAUCACAUAUCCAUGGCGCCCAUUGUCAGACCCACGCUCAAUCUGAAGUGUCCCUUUUGUCCCAUCAACUCGCCAAUAUAUCU